UAAGAGCCCAUCUCCUCGCUACCUUCCACCAACACAAAUACAUAUCGAGUAACUCUUAAUGUAACAAAACACUUGCUUGUCAAACCUCGCGGAUAUAGUGCUCACUUUCUGAAUGUGAAACUUUGCAUUGGUUGUUAAAUGUUGGAUGAAUUAGAUGGUGUACUCCAAAUUCUUCUCUGCUCAUUGAAGCUUCCAAUUACAGCUGCCUGUGUUUUAUCCCCAAGUCGUUUUGCAAAAACAUUGUAAUAAGCUGAUGGAUCCACAUUCUCCAAUAAGUUUACUGUUUUUCCAUGCUCUUCAUCAAUACUGAUUUCACCAUCUUCACAUUCAACUCCAGUAGCACUCACUUGUAACUUCUUCACUUCAAA
RNAcentral lists this unclassified non-coding RNA (368 nucleotides) under Hevea brasiliensis (rubber tree). Lineage: Eukaryota; Viridiplantae; Streptophyta; Magnoliopsida; Malpighiales; Euphorbiaceae. The record is from RNAcentral.